GAGUGACUAUUGUAGCUUAUCUGCAAUAUACUAAAUUCCACUCCAAUCCAGUUGGCAUUUAUAAGUUUUAGGUGGUCUGUCCAUUUGUAUCUUAACCACCCAAUGUGUCUUGUUGCUUGGGUGUGAUUCUGUUUGGGCUUGUGCUUAGGUUGAUACUGAAAUUGGGGCUACGUUUAUCAUGACCCACAUCCUACAUUGGUAGUGAACUGGAGAGAUCCUUGAUAUAUUUG
RNAcentral lists this unclassified non-coding RNA (230 nucleotides) under Hevea brasiliensis (rubber tree). Lineage: Eukaryota; Viridiplantae; Streptophyta; Magnoliopsida; Malpighiales; Euphorbiaceae. The record is from RNAcentral.